RNAcentral lists this long non-coding RNA (3103 nucleotides) under Meleagris gallopavo (turkey). RNAcentral describes it as "lncRNA (ENSMGAG00000021877.1)". Lineage: Eukaryota; Metazoa; Chordata; Aves; Galliformes; Phasianidae. The record is from RNAcentral.
GGCAUCCACAGCCUCUCUGGGCAGCUGUUCCAGCACCUCACCACUCUCACAGUAAAGAACUUCCCAACUUCCCCCUGACAUCCAACCUCAAUCUUCUCUCCUUCAGCUUGAAACCAUUUCCCCUAGUCUUGCUAUUAUCUACCCUUUCAAAGAGUUGAAUGAGGAUGUGAGGUUUGCUCCAAUCCAAACCAACAGCAAGGGCAGGAGGAGCGAGGAGAUGAGCAGUCCUUGAGGGUCUGUGCACUCUGCAGAGACAAGGAUUCUCAGCUGCCCUCGUUACCUGGCAGUCUGUGAGACACUCAGAUGAUUAAUUUUAGAUUUGCUCACAUCAGCGUUUUGUCAUCUGAGCUGUGAAAAGCAAAGCAGAGAAGUGAGAACACUGUUUGGAAACGCAUUAGUGAUCAGGGGUGCAUUGCUCCGUGUUUACAGCCUGGCCUUUGAAGUGUGCAAUGACAGCUGCACGAAGGAAAUGUCUGAUAAAAGAUCACUUUAUUUCAAGACAACAUUGUGAGGCUGCACCAAAUACAACGAGUAGGAGUGGACCAUGGGCUGAAGGCUCCUAUUCCUUACUAUCACAUUGGAUGUGUGUUACCCAGCCAGCAGGCUGCCAGGGCACUUUGGGGAUCACCGUGAGACUCUCCUUGGAUAAAGCUGAUUUCCUCCCCUGGUGGCAGCAGCGGAUGCAGAGAACAAUAGGUAUGGUGCCUGCUCAGGGAACAACUCCUGCUCCCCUGUGCCAUGCCCAGCCCUCAGCUGGGGAAUGGAGGGACCCACCCGAGGGAAAAGCCAGCUCCAGAGGAGUGGCUCGGAAAAGAACAUCGCACAAAUUCAUGGAAAGCAGUGAUUGAAUGAAGAAUGAGGUCAUGCAACUGUUCCAGGAAAGGUGCAGCCAAAAUAUGCGUUUAGAGCAGAAAUUUUUUGAAAUGGAUAAAAAUAAAAGAAUCUCAUCUCUAGAAAGAUGCAGGAGGUCAGAGGUACCUGAGGGCAAGCAGCCACAGAGCUGUGACCAUCCCCAGGAGCCCUUUUUGGUGUCUGAUCACUGAUGUGAAACUGCUUAUUGCAAAACCUGCAGCAGGACGUAUCUAGUGAUCACUGUCUCUGGGUAAUGUAGAUAAAACAUUUGCUUUUUUAUUUUUCCUUUAAUAGCGGAUGGUGAAAGAGUCUUUAAUCCUCCCAACGUGGGCUGACUGCAUCUGGUUGCUCGUUAGCAUCCACCCUGGGCCACCGCAGUCUCAGGCUCUAUUUGGGAUUACACACCUCCCCAAAAGCUGUUCUCCAGUUUGGCUUGUGUGGUUAUCCAUCCCAAAUGCAGCUCUUUACUUCUGCAAGUUUGGUCUAGCUCCUUCCAAAUUAUCACUGUGAAUUUAUUCAUAUCGUUGCUAGUCGUCUGCCUUCCAGACGCCUUGCAGCCCUCCCAGCCCGGAGUUAUUGUAAUGCACUCUUCAGUUGAUCAUCUGGGUUGCUCAUGCAAAUUUUGUAUGCCUGGGCACCAGACCCCUUGCAGUUUGGCAGAGAGAAUCCAAAGCCAUAUACUGAGCAUAAGAUGUCUCCUGUGCACUGUGUACCCACUGCAUGGCCUUCUUCUGGCUCUUGGGGGUGAACAAGAGAUGUGGGAUGAGCAGUCUCUGAGCUUUGGGGAUGCAGCAGAUCCUUUCCAUGCAAUGUCAGAGGUUAGCCAUGUUUAGCUAUUUAGAGCUUGGCAGUGUGUAGGAAGGAGGGAGAAAGCAUAAGGGACCGGCGUAUGUUCAGAUGCUCCGUAACGAUGUCAUCUGAAGAUGAUUUACGUCGGAGCUGGGACAUAUGCUGUGCUUUAUCACCGCAGUCAUCUACCAGGAUGCGUGCUGCCACCUGAUUGCAUGCCCACAUUUCUUCUUGGCUUUACACUUCACUCGUUCCCUGCAGAGGCACUGAGUGUGAGUCCUCAAGGUGAGCAAUACUGUCCCUGGGUUAUGGGAUCUCUUUGCUUUGGUCUGCACUCAUGCAGGUUGGCCUCUCGGAGCUUGCUGGGGGAGCCAAUGCACCUCUUAGCUGCCAGGUGCUAAAAUCCAUCAGAAGAAGGAUAAGGACAACUGGGGAAAAUUGAUGGCAUUAAACAUAUUGUGUUUCCUGUGAUUAGAAAUAAUCGACAUUUUUCUACAUUGUUCCUACACAUUUACCUAACUUGUUUGUAACUGUUUCCAGUGCUACACUCCUUUACUUCCCAAGCUAAUUCGUUACCUGUCCUUAAUUAACCCUGUCAUUAGGAAGGUUUCCUCAAGCGUCACCCAAGUGUGCUGCACUUUGAUCCGCCAUGUCACAUCCUACCCAUCAUAGACAAGGAGAACCAUGCACUCCUUUCUCUGAGAGGACAUUCUGUCUCUGAGGCCUAUUGGGAAGACUCCCCUCUCUCUUUUUUGCCAGUUUCCUUCAGUUCUUCCUCACUGGGUUCUGUUUUCAUCACCUUUCCUUCAGCCUAUGGGGCUCUGCCCACUUUGGAUCCUUCCAUGGUACUCCAGCUGAGAUCUCAACAGGGGUGAGCCAUGCCAAAGGGCAACUCAGUGUGCUUCACACCCAACCACUGUGUUAACUCAUCCCAUCUAAUGGGAAAGAAAAUAUUGCUGGCUCUCGUGGCUCUGUUGUAUGGGUGAAGAUGGAUAUUGUGGUGGAGAAGACCAGAGGAUGCUCCCCUUCCAGGCUGGGAAAAUGAUUUUCCAAAGUGGAAAAAGCAUCUUUCACAAUCCAGAUCUCUUGUAGCAGGGAAUUUGAUUUUGGUGAUAUUUUCAGGCUGACUUGGGUUUUAGUUUGCCUUGUUUUGCAAGGAUGAGAACAUUUUGUGCUGAUGAAAUCGUUCAGCUUAAUUGCACACUAAAAGCAUGUUGAUGUUUAUAUUAUGUGAGUAUUAAUUUUAAUCUCCAAUAUUAAUCAGUAGCAAUGUAAACAAUGUAUUGAGUAUUAUCCUUGCCAGGCUCUAUUUGUAUAUAAUUCAAUAUUUACAACAGGUGUUUAAUAUUUUGUAUUGUGUGAUAACAUUUCUCUGUCACUGUUCAUCAGGGACAGGAAAAGAAAGAAAGGGUUUAAAGUGCAGUGAGGGAGUUUAAAUUAAAUUCCAGGAGCAUUUUCCUUA